AACGAACGCUGGCGGCAGGCCUAACACAUGCAAGUCGAGCGGACCCUUCGGGGUUAGCGGCGGACGGGUGAGUAACGCGUGGGAACGUGCCCUUUGCUUCGGAAUAGCCCUGGGAAACUGGGAGUAAUACCGGAUACGCCCUUUUGGGGAAAGAUUUAUCGGCGAAGGAGCGGCCCGCGUUGGAUUAGGUAGUUGGUGGGGUAAUGGCCUACCAAGCCGACGAUCCAUAGCUGGUUUGAGAGGAUGAUCAGCCACACUGGGACUGAGACACGGCCCAGACUCCUACGGGAGGCAGCAGUGGGGAAUCUUAGACAAUGGGGGAAAUCCUGAUCUAGCCAUGCCGCGUGAGCGAUGAAGGCCUGAGGGUUGUAAAGCUCUUGCACCGGGGAAGAUAAUGACGGUACCCGGAGAAGAAGCCCCGGCUAACUCCGUG
RNAcentral lists this ribosomal RNA (433 nucleotides) under uncultured bacterium. RNAcentral's name for it is "partial 16S ribosomal RNA". It matches the Rfam family "Bacterial small subunit ribosomal RNA", at positions 29 to 507 of the family's 1533-position model. The record is from RNAcentral.